CCUGGAGAAAGGUCAAAUGAUAAUAUACUAAAUUACUCGUUUUUAACUGGUUUCAAUAACUGAACGACUUGGUGAGAUGUGAUAUAUCUCAAGAAUCUUAUGUUUUUUUCCUAAGAGAAAAAAAAACACUAGCUUUAGACAACUUACUUUCAAAGCUUAUAAAAGCAACUGUUAGUCUAGUUGCACAGGCUGGAGUGUAGUGGCAUGAUCUGGACUCAUGGCACCCUCCACCUCCCGGGUUCAAGUGAUUCUUGUGCUUCAGCCUCCCAAGUAGCUGGGACUAGAGGUGCACACCAUGACGCCCGGCCAAUUUUUGCAUUUUUAGUAGAGACAGGGUUUUGCCAUAUUGGCCAGGCUGGUCUCAAACUCCUGGCCUCAAGUGAUCUGCCUGCCUCAGCCUCCUAAAGUACUGGGAUUACAGGUGUGAGCCACCACAUCUGGCCUACAGCAUAUAUUUAAUGCAAUACAGCUUAACUUCUAAGAGCAAUUUUAACAUAUCUUAAAUAUAAAAUUAGUGCUAUGAACUUAGUUUCUGCAUAAUUUAUAUACCUCCAUCUUACUUAUCAUUGUGUCUUCACCACCCAGUACAAGGCAGGUAGUUGCUGAACAAGUGAAUAAAUGAAUUAUUUUGUUAUCGAAGUUUUGGGUUUUAGUGGGUAUUCUCUUAUUCUCAUUUGUCAGAAGAUUAAGCUUUGGAAGAAAAAUACUUGAGGGAGCGUUCAAGAUGGGUUAAAACUUAAAUGUCACAUCUGAAACAGUAAAAAUCCUAGAAGAAAUCCUAGGAAAAACUCUUCUGGACAUUGGCCUAGGCAAAGAAUUUAUGAUGAAGACCUCAAAAGCAAACAUAACAAAACCAAAAAUAGACAAAUGAGAUUUAAUUAGAAAAACUUCUGCACAGUAAAAGUAAUAAUCAACAGUUAAUAGACAACCUAUAGAAUGGGAGAAAAUAUAUGUAAAUUAUACAUCUGACAAAGAACUAAUAUCCAGAAUCUACAAAGAACUCAACAAGAAAAAAACCAACCCCACAAGCGGGCAAAGGACAUGAACAGACAUUUCCCAAAAGAAGACAUACAAGCAACCUAAAAUAAUCUAAAAUAAUUUUUAAAAAGAAAAAAUGCUUGACAGAGUUUUGAUAGUACUUAGUAAAAAGUUAUAUCUAGUGGCUUUUUGUUUGUUUGUUUUUGUUUUGUUUUUAAGAAAUAGUCUCUGUUUCCCAAGCUGGAGUACAGUGGCGCAAUCUUGGCUCACUGCAACCUCGAACUCCUGGGCUCAAGCGAUCCUCCAGCCUCAGCCUCCCAAGUAGCUGUUAUAGGCAUGCACCACCACUCCCGACUAAUAUAUCUGCUAUCAAUAACAUAAUUGUUUCCCUU
Molecule: long non-coding RNA, 1370 nt
Filed under: Homo sapiens (human)
Lineage: Eukaryota; Metazoa; Chordata; Mammalia; Primates; Hominidae
Description: HSALNT0011445
Source: RNAcentral